This 314-nucleotide long non-coding RNA is filed under the name Phoenix dactylifera (date palm). RNAcentral's name for it is "long non-coding RNA (PDAC_LNC006510)". The record is from RNAcentral. Lineage: Eukaryota; Viridiplantae; Streptophyta; Magnoliopsida; Arecales; Arecaceae.
GUUUGAACAGGCAAUGAUUAUUUAAUACAUUAAGGCACAUGUCACUAAAGGUCCGAAACACAUUAAAACUAGUAACUAGUAAGAUGCUGUAAAUAUUUAAUACCAUUCCUUACAAAUAACUAACCUUACAUGAGAGCCGGAAAUUCUUUCAAAUGACCCAUAAACCCGACGUACAGCUACAAGGCGAGCAAUCAUCCUUGUGGGCGAGCUCAAAUCAGCAGUCGAGGUGGGGCCCAGAAUCUAUGUCAUGUGGGAUCUAGUGUACGCAAGCUUGUCUCGGUGUAGCCCCACGACAGGACCCAUGGACCCACCUC